AUCGAUGAUGAGAUCCAACACUCAAAUUAGUCUGAUUUUCAUCAAAUAUUGUUAUUCCUCUUCACCCUCUCAACAGAUAUUGCUAUUUUUCUUCAACUUCUCAUCAGAUAUUGCUAUUGCUAUUUCUCUUCACCAAAUAUCGCUACUCCUUUUCACCUUCUCACUAGAUAUUGCUAUUUCUCUUCACCUUCUCACCAGAUAUUACUAUUUCUCUUCACUUUCUCUUCACCAGAUAUUGCUAUUUUUCUUCACCUUCCUACCAGAUAUUGCUAUUUCUCUUCACCUUCGCACCAGAUAUUGCUAUUUCUUUUCACCUUCUCUUUUUUUUGGAUUAGUAAAUGGUAAAUAU
This 349-nucleotide long non-coding RNA is filed under the name Ananas comosus (pineapple). RNAcentral's name for it is "long non-coding RNA (ACOM_LNC033608)". Lineage: Eukaryota; Viridiplantae; Streptophyta; Magnoliopsida; Poales; Bromeliaceae. The record is from RNAcentral.